Artibeus jamaicensis (Jamaican fruit-eating bat) is the source of this 768-nucleotide long non-coding RNA. RefSeq lists it as uncharacterized. The transcript is spliced from 3 exons. The record is from RefSeq and is a predicted model, not a curated record. Lineage: Eukaryota; Metazoa; Chordata; Mammalia; Chiroptera; Phyllostomidae.
AAGGCCAGUGUGCUUUGUCUGAGCCUGAGAAGGAGCACUGAAACAGGAAGUUGACCUCACGUGUCGCCCUUCUUACAACGACCACAGAUCUGCGGGCCCUGAUGUCCGAUGUCUGAAAAUAGUUUCUCUUCUCUGGGCUUGAGACCAACUUCCCACCUUCUCUGUCCUUAGAAGAGACCAUGAAAAACAGGCUGUAUUUAAUUACUGGCUCUAUCACUUUCUCUUCAGGUGACCUUGGCACAACAGACAAGAUUCAAGAUGUUGACUGACCAGAUGGCCUGCAUACCUGAAUACCUAUGACAAGCACCUGGUAAGGUGCAAUUGUCCAGUAGCAUGAUCAAGAAAUAAAGUUUUAUUAUUUUAAGGCACUGAGAUAUGAGGUUGUGUCUGAUGAUAGUGUAACUCAUCCUAUUCUGACUACUCCAGAACUCAACUUUGUUAAGAAGAAUUAAAGAAUAGUCCUCAGCAAGCACUUUUCAAUGUUUCAAGGAAAUUUUAACCUGUUUUCACUCUAGUUUUUAGACCUCGAUUUGAUGUUAAAUAGUGAUGGCUUAGACCCAUAUAAUAAUACUCAUUAGAUUUGUAGGGACAAAAAAUUAUUUUCAUAUAGUAAUUUGUUAUGCUUUAGUAUUAAAUAUAUCUAUUUAGUCACUCUAUUUACAUGUAAAAUAAGUUCAUUUCAAGGUGGAAAAUGUCUACCCUUAUAUAAAAGAAUGGGUUCACCUGUCCUCAGGGGGCUGGUUGGCACCCCUAGGAUAUGCUAUUAUA